This is a long non-coding RNA of Gopherus flavomarginatus (Mexican gopher tortoise), 645 nucleotides long. RefSeq lists it as uncharacterized. Lineage: Eukaryota; Metazoa; Chordata; Testudines; Testudinidae. The transcript is spliced from 3 exons. The record is from RefSeq and is a predicted model, not a curated record.
UUUUGCAGCGCUGGUUGUUACAGCUGUAUUAGUACAGCUGUAUAGGGCCAGCGCUGCAGAGUGGUCACACUUACAGCAACCAGCGCUGCAAGUGGUGUUACAUGUGGCCACACUGCAGCGCUGUUGGGCGGCUUCAAGGGGGGUUAGGGGAACGCGAGAGCAAACCGCGGGGAAGCAGGUCUCCUUCCCCGCGGUUUGUUCUCGCGUUCCCCGAACCCCCGUGCAAGCAGGUCUCCUUCCCAGCGGUUUGCUCCGGUGUUCCCCGAACCCCCGUGCAAGCAGGUCUCCUUCCCAGCGGUUUGCUCCGGUGUUUUUUGAACCCCCCUGCAAGCAGAUCUCCUUCCCCGCGGUGUGCUGUCGCGUUCCCCGAACCCCCCUGCAAACCGCGGGGAAGGAGAUCUGCUUGCACGGGGGUUAGGGGAACGCGAGAGCAAACCACGGGGAAGGAGACCUGCUUCCCCGCGGUUUGCUCUCGCGUUCCCCGAACCCCCCUGCAAACCGCGGGGAAGGAGACCUGCUUGAUUACCAGAGAGGCUUCCUCUGGUAUGCUGGGAUACCUGCUUAUUCCACGGAGGUCAAGAAAAACGCUGGUGAGUGUUUACACCUGAUGACCAGCGCUGGAUCACCAGCGCUGGAUCCUCUACA